Molecule: long non-coding RNA, 378 nt
Filed under: Vitis vinifera (wine grape)
Lineage: Eukaryota; Viridiplantae; Streptophyta; Magnoliopsida; Vitales; Vitaceae
Description: long non-coding RNA (VVIN_LNC000151)
Source: RNAcentral
UAGAAGUCUCUAGCCUCGAAGGAUCUCUGCUCCAUAUCCGAAUCUCCUUGUCGGAAGAGCCACUGUAGAGGAAUUUUCCGGCUAGGGCGAGGGAGAAGACAUAGGAGGAGUGGCCUUUGAGAGUGGAAAUGCAGUGGUGGUGGGUGGUGAUGGCUUGUUCAUGCCGUCGGGAUUGGGAGGUGAGAGAAGGAACAGAUGGUAGACUUGGUUGAGAAGCGAGAGAGUUUGAUGAUUCUGAAUGAAGGCAUGAAGAAUCUGAGUGAAGGUGAUGUGCUUGUGCUUGAGCUUGAGCUUGAGCUUGAGCUCGAGAUUGAGAUUCUUUCUCUUUAUGGCAAGACAAGGGACAUCGGAGAAAUCCCAUUCUCUCUCAAGCCUUUC